UGAGGAAUCUUGCGCAAUGGAGGCAACUCUGACGCAGCCACGCCGCGUGAAGGAUGACCCCCCUAUGGGGCGUAAACUUCUUUUCUGUGAGAAGAACUCCUGCCUCGGGCAGGGCUGACGGUAUCACAGGAAUAAGGACCGGCUAACUCCGUGCCAGCAGCCGCGGUAAUACGGAGGGUCCAAGCGUUGUCCGGAAUCAUUGGGUGUAAAGGGUGUGUAGGCGGGUGCGCAAGUCAGGGGUGAAAGCCCACAGCUCAACUGUGGAAUCGCCUUUGAGACUGCGUGUCUUGAGUCCUGGAGAGGCCACUAGAAUUCGUGGUGUAGCGGUGAAAUGCGUAGAUAUCACGAGGAAUACCGGAGGCGUAGGCGGGUGGCUGGACAGGUACUGACGCUGAGGCACGAAAGCGUGGGGAGCGAACAGG
RNAcentral lists this ribosomal RNA (422 nucleotides) under uncultured bacterium. RNAcentral describes it as "bacterial SSU rRNA". It matches the Rfam family "Bacterial small subunit ribosomal RNA", at positions 355 to 776 of the family's 1533-position model. The record is from RNAcentral.